GGGAAUCUCAAAUAAAAAUAUUAGGGCGGGGACCGAAAAUGGAGAUGAUAUUGUGAUUCCCAUCCCAAUCCGCCCCAUUGCCAUUUCUACUGCUAGAAAAGUAGAAAGUGGUUUUAUUUUUGCGGUAAAUAACUUUUAUUUGUCUUAGGAUGAACUCUGUCCGAUCACCUGUAUUCUCUGCACAACCGUCUCCUCGCCACGUCUUCAUCGAUCUCCAACCUCGGCGCCGGCGUUCUCCUCCUCCACGGCUCCACAUAUCAGGUGUUAUGAGGGGAAGCUGCUACUUGAAAGUUGAAAGAGGCCCAGAGAAUAUAUCUUCCCUGUUUUGUGUCAACGGGACUACAAUUUGAUCAUCUGAUAUCAAUGUUUACAUACACACAUACGUCACACGCUAAGAGUGCUUCUCAUCCAGUUUGCGCAUACACCUUCCCUAAGUAGUUCAUGCAGAUGUGGGUCAUAUUAGAAAGCGCCACACACUGGAGAUCAAGAUAUUGUAAGACUCAUUUGAAACUCAUUUCAUACAAGAUAGAGAGGAAGAAAUCUGAAAAGUAGAGGUGGUGGACCACGUGUUUGGAGACCAAUCUUGAAGUGAAGAAAGCAAAUGGGUAUGGGUAGCAAAUCUUAGCCUUCCAUGCAGUUCCACUCUCUUUAAGUAAAAGGAAUGCUUUCAGUCUUUCAGUAAGUUUAAUUUGGAAUAAGAAUCGCGGCGGACCGACGCUGGUUAUGCAGAAUGAGCUGGAGAACCUGGUAUGUCACAAAAGUGCCAGAUAGGUUCUAUUGAGCAGCUGCAACUUAAUUCUGAAUUCAAAUUAACUUUAUUCUAGUCUGUGCCUUUUUCUAGGCCAGUAAAUAGUAGUUCUUUUUUAUGCCGCCUUUGUUUACUGCAAAUUAAUAUAUAGGCAUGUUUGGUUCGCCGGAUUUAGCUUUUGUGAAAGGAAUGCAACCCCUUGGGCUGAAGGGAUUUGUUUUCGCUC
This is a long non-coding RNA of Rosa chinensis, 974 nucleotides long. RefSeq lists it as uncharacterized. The transcript is spliced from 5 exons. Lineage: Eukaryota; Viridiplantae; Streptophyta; Magnoliopsida; Rosales; Rosaceae. The record is from RefSeq and is a predicted model, not a curated record.